ACAGGCUUUUAUUACGGAUUUCCAUGCUGAACAAAGGCCAGGAGGAAUGGCUCAGUGCAGAAACAAUACAUCAUCAGACUGACCUAGUUUGCAGGACCGCGGGUGCUUGCGAAGGAUAAUUAUCUUCUGUGAAUCGUUUCCAUCAAUGCAUCAGUCAAUCAAUCUUCACCAGCACCACACGCCAUCAGCAACUCCAUUUUGUUGUUUCUUCUAAUGGAAACGGCUCUCCAUGAGAGUUCUGAUGAGUUCGAGUGAUGAACGAGGACACAGUUUGGUGAGAGAACCAGCACUUAAUCUGAAGCCAUUCUGUGCAUCCCUGACUCAAAAAUGCUGGUUCUGCACCUGACACUUAAACUUUGUGGUCUUUCACCCCGAUGUUCUCACCAAGUGCACUUUUCAAA
Molecule: long non-coding RNA, 401 nt
Organism: Carassius carassius (crucian carp)
Lineage: Eukaryota; Metazoa; Chordata; Actinopteri; Cypriniformes; Cyprinidae
Exons: 3
Source: RefSeq, a predicted model, not a curated record